Molecule: ribosomal RNA, 251 nt
Filed under: uncultured prokaryote
Description: partial 16S rRNA
Rfam family: Bacterial small subunit ribosomal RNA
Source: RNAcentral
ACGGGGGGUGCUAGCGUUGUUCGGAAUCAUUGGGCGUAAAGAGCGUGUAGGCGGCUGGAUAAGUCAGAUGUGAAAGCCCUGGGCUUAACCCAGGAAGUGCAUUUGAUACUGUUCAGCUUGAGUAAGGGAGAGGAAAGCGGAAUUCCUAAUGUAGCGGUGAAAUGCUUAGAUAUUAGGAAGAACACCAGUGGCGAAGGCAGCUUACUGAGCUUUAACUGACGCUGAUGCACGAGAGCGUGGGGAGCGAACAG